This 468-nucleotide ribosomal RNA is filed under the name uncultured bacterium. Its description in RNAcentral is "partial 16S ribosomal RNA". It matches the Rfam family "Bacterial small subunit ribosomal RNA", at positions 28 to 507 of the family's 1533-position model. The record is from RNAcentral.
GACGAACGCUGGCGGCGUGCUUAACACAUGCAAGUCGAACGGAAAGGCCCUGCUUUUGUGGGGUGCUCGAGUGGCGAACGGGUGAGUAACACGUGAGUAACCUGCCCUUGACUUUGGGAUAACUUCAGGAAACUGGGGCUAAUACCGCAUAGGAGCUCCUGCUGCAUGGUGGGGGUUGGAAAGUUUCGGCGGUGGGGGAUGGACUCGCGGCUUAUCAGCUUGUUGGUGGGGUAGUGGCUUACCAAGGCUUUGACGGGUAGCCGGCCUGAGAGGGUGACCGGCCACAUUGGGACUGAUGUGCGGCCCAGACUCCUACGGGAGGCAGCAGUGGGGAAUAUUGCACAAUGGGCGGAAGCCUGAUGCAGCAACGCCGCGUGCGGGAUGACGGCCUUCGGGUUGUAAACCGCUUUCGCCUGUGACGAAGCGUGAGUGACGGUAAUGGGUAAAGAAGCACCGGCUAACUACGUG